AUAUCUAUAGUUUAUCCACUUUUAAUUAAGCUAACUUUUAACCAUAGUGCUCUUUAAAAAAGAAAUUGUUUCAGAUCUGUUAUUACCCGACUUUAGCCUUGCCAAGUGGCCAAUAUUUCUAGCUUCUGAACUUUACCAAAGAUAACCUCCUAGGUGCUUAGAGAAAGGAAAAUUUAAGACAGUCCUCAGAGGGGAAGAGAAUAGACAAAGUCACACAGAUAUUAAACCAGAAAUGACUUACUUUCUAGGUGGGGAAUUGAACCCGGACCGCCACUGUUAAAGUGCAGAACCCUAGCUACUGAAUUACAGGACGGGGCAGUCUCUAUUCCCUUUCCCAGAAGAAGUCUAGGGUAGUUAAUUUUGAGCUUGCAAAGACUUUUUAACUAUGUCAUAUGAUUUUUAGAGCUAACUAUGACAUAAACCCUAAAAUUUCUGUUUCUUAGAAGGCGAAGACCAAGAGAAUGUACUUCCACGUGGUUAAAAGGUCAAGCUCCCAAGGACUUAAAAGAAGGGACCUGCAGCCAAGUUUGUUACUGAUGAGCUUGCUGGGUCAUCUUGAAAAGCAGGCUUACAGGUAUUCUAAGCCCAUGUUUUAUCCUGAAGUACCCCUCAACACAGAAAAAUUAAUUCAUGGCACGAAAUACACCAGCUUAAGACUAGCCUUAGAAUUCUUUUUCACACUAAUUACAAACUUCUCAGAGGAGAUAAACUCUGAAUUUUUUUUUCUAUUCGUUCAACCAUUUGCAUAGAAAGAUAGAAGCCAGAAAUCUGGUAAGAAAUUCUUACCCUUCUGCCGGCAUGCCAGGCUUCUGGGUUCCCUUUCCCUGACCAGCACUAAUGAUCCAGCUUGUGGCACCAUCGCCUUGGGGGCCAAGCCACAUUGUAAAGGAAAAUCGUUAUUUUUUUUUGUUCUGGCCAGAGCAAAAUACGUGUGAUAAAACAUAGACAUUAGCCACUCUGCUUAGUACCCAAUAUCAAACUGGCAAGGCUUACAUUUGCCCCACAUGGGCCCCUUCAUCUUUAAUCCAACCUCCGACUUGGAGUUUCAGCACGUGGUCUCUAGGCAAGAUGGUUGCCCUGAAUAACAAAAAAGACGGGAAAGGAGAGAAGGAAAAUUAUUGCCUCUAGUAGGGUGGGACAGGUGAAAUGCUCAGGGAGGCCAGAGAAAGACCCACCCAUUGCAGCGACACUGAAAAGUUCAGGUGGCUGCUUCUUGGUAGCAAAGGGAUCUUUUCCAGCAAUCCUAUUAGCUCUCAACUUUCCCCUUUUAGGGAAGAAAAAGCUUCCCAUGUCCCACGAUCCUGUACAUGCCUAACCCUGUCACCCACAGCCAUUAGCAAAGAGUACAAGGCAGAUUAAUCCAAAGAGAAUAGCAGUUAACAUCUGGUAGUGCCAAACCUGUUGUUAACCAAGGUGGACUUUACUGAGAGGGGCCUCUAACCCCCUAAAUCUUAGAAGAGACUCUAACCCUCCAAAGUUGUGCCUCUAACCCAAGGUUGGUCAAGCGUCCUUGCCUUUUAUUGAGAGGAGCAUUUAACCCACUCUGUUUUAGGAGAGUCUCUAACUUCCCUAAGUUGGGCCUCUAACCCAAUCCCAUUCUUUACCCGGGUACCCAACCACUUACCCAAAGUCGUCCAAUUAGUGCUGCAGUCUACUUCCUUUGGGUCAGGGGUCUCCUCAAUAUCGUCUCUUCUGUGGUUCACCAGAAAUAUGUUGCAGGAUCCGAACACUUACCCAAAUGGAGCUGUUGGGUCCGGGUUUCUGCACUAUAGUCCCUUCUGUGGUUACCAGAAAUACAUUACCAGAAAGGGGUCCUGAUCCAGACCCCAAGAGAGGGUUCUAGGAUCUCACACAAGAAAGAAUUCAGGGCAAGUCUGCAGUUCAAAGUGAAGGCAAGUUUAUUAAGAAAGUAAAGGAAUAAAAGAAUGUUACUCCAUAGACAGAGCAGUCCUGAGGGGGGCUGGUUGCCUGUUUUUAUGGUUAUUUUCUGACAAUAAACUGAACAAAGGGUGGAUUAUUCAUGCCUCCCCUUUUUAGACCAUAUAGGGUAACUUCCUGACAUUGCCAUGGCAUUUGUAAACUGUCAGGGCUCUGGUGGGAUUGUAGCAGUGAGGACAACCGGAGAUCACUCUCGUGACCAUUUUGGUUUUGGUGGAUUUUGGCUGGCUCCUUUACUGCAAACUGUUUUAUCAGCAAGGUCUUUUUGACCUGUAUUUUGUGCUGACCUCCCGUCUCAUCCUGUGACUUAGAAUGCCUUAACCAUCUGGGAAUGCAGCCCAGUAGGUUUCAGCCUCAUUUUACCCAGCUCCUCUUUAAGAUGGAGUUGCUCUGGUUUAUACGCCCCGACAACGGUACCAAGUUAGGUUGAAGACUAUGUUGAGGAACAGAUUCAGCAGGAAAACUGUGAGCUUCACUACUAAAUAGGAUAUUUUGUUACCGACAUCCACUCCUUUAUACAACUGAAUAAAGAUGUUAAUUUAGUGGUCAACCAUGAUUGACAAUUUUUAUUGCUAUAGAAAAAACUUUCAUGUUGAGUCUGGGUAAACUACUAUUUUUUAAAAAAUGCAGUAUUUCUGAAGCUUAACACAAAAGUUUCUCACUGAAUAAUCAUCUGGCAUGUAUGUUACUAAGCUGGCAGCUCUCCUCAGGGGCUCUCCUCACGCAGGCGUCUGCCAUUAUGUGGCUCUGUCCUCUAGGUCGUUACUCAGACAAUAGAGGUUAGCACAUGGGAGGGUUUUAUGGAUCAUGCCUGGAGAUGGCUUUUGUCAUUUGUAUCCACAGUCCAUUGCCCAGAAUGCAGUUGUGGCCAUGCCUAAUUGCAAAGGAAGUUAGGAAAUAUAGUCUAGCUAUGUGUAUAGGAAGGAAAGGGAGAUAGUUCAGUCCAUAAAUAAACACUGCCACAGGAUAGAUUCCCAGUAUGUACAACAGUGAGCUUUAUUCCUAUCUAGUCUGUCAUUAUGAAUAAUGUAAGCACAGAUCGAUUGUUGGUUCUAACCAGAAAUGUUAGAUUUCAAGUCAGUUUGAAAAUUAUAUGAUGGUCAAUGUCUUAGUCACCCUGGGUGGCUAUAACAAAAGUGACAUAGACUCAUUAUUACACUCAUCACUACUACUCAUUAUGACACCACCAGCUUUUCUGGGUUUCUAGCUUACAGAGGGCAGACUGUAGGACUUCUCAGCCUUCAUAGUCAUAUGCGCUACAUUCUUAUAAUCUCUUCUAUGUCUCCAUCGAUGUGUCUGUAUCUAACUACUAUUCUUUUUCUCUAGAGAACCCUAACACAGUCAACAUUAAAAAAAUUGACACAUACUAAUUGUACACAUUUAUGGGGUGCAUAAUGAUGUUUUGAUGCAUACAGUAUUCAUCACCUCAAACAUUUAUCAAAUGAAAGUAAUUUAGCACAUCCAUCACCUCAAACAUUUAUCAUUUGUUUAUUUUGGGAAACAUUCAAAGUCCUGUUUUCUAGCUAUUUGAAAAAUAUAUAAUACAUUAUUGUUAACUAUAGUCACCCUACAGUGGUAUAGAACAGCACAACUUAUUUCUUCUAUGUAGCUGUAAUUUUGUAUCUUUUAACCAGUAUUUCCCUGUUCCCCCACCCCGACCCUUCCCAUCCUCUAGUAAUUACUAUUCUAUACUCUACUUCUUUGAGAUCAACUUUCCUAGCUAUGGCAUAUGAGUGAAACAUGAGAUAUUGAUCUUUCUGUUCCUGGUUUAUUUUACCCAACAUAAUGUCCUCCAGGCUCAUCCAUAUUGCUGUGAAUGACAUGAUUUCAUUCUUUUUUAUGGCUGAAUAGUGUUCCAUGUGUAUAUAUUUUAUUGAUUUAUAUGUUAAUGAGCACUUAGGUUGAUUUCAUAUUUUGGCUAUUGUGUGAGUAGUGCUGCAAUAAACAUGGGGUUGCAGAUAUUUCUUCGAUAUACUCAUUUCCUUUCUUUUGGAUAUGCAUGAGUUCAUUCUCACAUUGCUAUAAAAAACUGUCUGAGAUUGGGUAGUUUAUAAAGAAAAGAGGUUUAAUUGACUCACAGUUCCAAAGAUUGUACAGAAAGCAUUGCUGGGGAGACCUCAGGAAGCUAACAAUCAUGGUGGAAAGGUAAGAGGAAGGAGGAACGUCUUCACCUGGCCAGAGCAGGAGGAAGAGAGAGAAGGGGGAGGUGCUACAAACUUUUUUAAACAGAGAAAUACAGAUCUCAUGAGAACUCACUAUCAUGAGAAUAACAAGGGGGAAAUCCUCCCCCAUGAUCCAAUCACCUCCUACACAGGCCCCUCCUCCAACACGAGAGAUUACCAUUUGAGGUGAGAUUUGGGAGGGGACACAAAUCCAAAUUAGGAGAUAUACCCAGUAGUGGGAUUGCUGGCUCAUAUGGUACUUCUAUUUGUAGUUUUUUGAGGAAUCUUUAUACUGUUCUCCAUAAUAGCUGUACUAGUUUACACUCCCACCAACAUUUUAUAAGAGUUCCCUUUUCUUGGCAUCCUUGCCAGCAUUUGUUAUGUUUUGUCUUUUUGAUAAUAACCGUUCUAAGGUGAAAUGAUACUUCAUUGUGGUUUUGAUUUUCAUUGCCCUGAUUAGUGAUGUUGAUGUUGAGCAUUUUUCAUAUGCUUAUUAGUCGUUUCUAUAUCUUCUUCUAAGAAAUAUCUAUUCAGUUCAUUUGUCCAGUUUUUUGAAUCAGAUUUUUUUUGAGUUUCUUAUAUAUUCUUAGAUAUUCUAGAUAUUAACUCCUUGUCAGAUGAGUAGUUUGCUAAUAUUUUCUUCCAUUCUGUAGUUUGCCUUUUCACUCUGUUGGUUGUUUCCUUUGAUGUGCAAAAGCUUUCAGUUUGAUUUAAUCCCAUUUGUCUAUUUUUGCUUCUUUUGCCUGUGCUUUUGAAGUCUUAUUUAUAAUGUCUUAUCUCAGACCAAUGUCCUGAAGUGUUUCCUCUAAGUUUUCUUAUAAUAGAUUCAUAGUUUGGGGUCUUACAUUUAAGUCUUUAAUCCAUUUUGAGUUGAUUUUUGUAUUAAUGGGAGAGAUAGGGACCUAGUUUCAUUCUUGUGCAUAUGUAUACCAGUUUUACCAGAACCAUAUAUUGAGGAGACUGUCCUUUCCUCAAUAAAUGUUGUUGGCACAUUUGUCAAAUAUCAGUUGACUGUAAAUAAAUAAAUUUAUUUCUGGAAGCUCUAUUCUGUUUCAUUGGUCUAUGUGUCUAAUUUUAUACCAAUACUAUGUUGUUUUGAUUACUAUAGUCUUGUAAUAUAUUUUGAGGUCAGGUAGUGUGACACCUCCAGCUUUGUUCUGUUUACUCAGGAUUGCUUUGGUUAUUUGGGCUCUUUUUUGGUUCCAUACAAAUUUUAGGAUUUAAAAAAAAUUUUCUGUGAAGAGUGUUAUUGGUGUUUUGAUUGGGAUUGGAUUGAAUCUGUAGAUUGCGUUGGGUAGUAUUGAAGCAGGAUAUUUCCCUGACCCCCUCGUAGGUGGGACCUGGAGUGCACAGGUGCUGGAACUAGCUGGCCACUUUGGCACCAGCAGGGGUGAGCUCCACUCAGUGGCUGCUCCACCCCUUGCUAGUGGGGAGUGCUGGUGAGUGAGUGCAGGGGCUGGGGUGAGGGCUUUUGGGUGCCAGCAGGAGCAGACCCUGUACUGGUCCUGCGGCAGUGCCUGGGGGCAGUGCUUUUGACCCCUGAAACCCCAGAGGAAGUGUUAGGCUACCCUUUUAGUUCUGCCAUCUGUGGACAGCUUAAGUGUUAACAGCUCAGUGGAGGAUUAGUGUGAUAGCCUUUUGCACCUGCACUCAGGGUACCUGAGUUUUUGUCAGGCGUCCAGGAGGAAUGAGGUUGCAAGAACAAAUUGAAGAUGGUAAAUGCGAGGGAUUUUAUUGCUGUUGAAAGUGGCUUUUUCAGCGGGAAGGGGAGCCAAAAAGGGGAUGGAGCAGGAAGAUAAUCUUCCCCUGAAGUCUGGCGGUCCUGGCUGGACUCCUUUCUGAAGCUACGCCAUCAAGCUGUCCUGAAGGCAAGCUGCUUCUCUCUGACAUCCAGCCAUAGACUCUGAUAUUCUGCUGCUUCUCCUCACUGCUGGCUGAGUUCUGGGGAUUUUGUAGGCACAGGAUGGGGGACAGGGUGGGCCAUGGAUGGUUUUUGAAAAGGUAACAUUCAAGUGGGAAAGCAGGGAUGUACAUUUUCACUUUGGGCUGCGGUUCCAGGUUUUUCAGCUUGAGGUUAUGGCCCUCACUGGGGACUUGCCCUCUUCUGCCCAGAAUUUUCCUGCCUCCUGUCCCUAUCACUAUGGUCAUUUUAAUUAACUAAUUUUUUCAGUCCAAGAACAUAGCAUGCCUUCCAGUUUUUUUUGUGUGGUGUGUCCUCUUCAAUAUUUUUCAUCAGUAUUUUAUAGUUUUUCUUGUAGAGAUCUUUUACCUCCUUAGUUAAAUUUAUUCCUAGGUAUUUAUUUUUUGUGGCCACUAACACAGUCAACAUUUUGAUGUAUAUUUGCAAAGAAUUCAGUAAGUAAAUAAAAAAGUAGUAUCUAUUAUAAUGGCCUAUAAUAUUUAUAUUAGAAAUGAUUGUAUUGGCAUGCUCAUUUUCUAAAAGUUUGACUUGGUCAUAGUAAUGUUGCAACAUUGAACUUAUAAUUACAAUUUAUUAAAUUUGUAGCAAAUAAAUGGCCUUGGAGCUGUUUCUUAAAAUUGUGUUUUAUUAUUUAAUAUACAGUAAAAUGCACAUAUGUUAUGUGUAUGGCUUGCUGAACUGUCACAUAUGUUAACAAUCAUUUAAGUACCACCUAUAUCAGGUGUAGAAUAUCGCCAGUGCUCCAGCAAGCUCCCUUGUGACCCCCUCUAGUCAAUAUGUUCCCCAAAGGUCACCACCAUUCUAACCUCCAUCACCAUAUGUUAGCUUACUUUUUGUUUGCACACUUUACAGGUAGAAUAGUACUCUGUAUAUCUUACAUCUUUUUUGUGUUUGUUUUCUUUUGUUCAACACUAUGAUAUUUAUCCGUACUGUGUUUAGCAGGAAUUCAUUCUUUUUCUAUUGUGAUAUUCUAAUAUUUGACUAUCAAAACUUCCAUUCUUGUAUAUUGAACAUUCUUACAUUUGUCUGUUGGUGGACAUAAGGACUCAUUUCUCUUGGAUAUAUGCUGAGAUCAUAGAACAUCUACUUGUUUAAAAUAGUUAAACCACUCACAUCAGCAAUGUAUGAAUUCUAGCUACUCCACAUCGUCACCAGUAUUAGCCAUCUGGUAGAGGCAGAAUAAUAUUUCAUUGGUUGUAACUUGCAUUUUCUUGAUGGUUAAUGAUGUUGUGUACCUUUUCAAAUGCUCAUUGGUCAUUUGGAUAUUUUGUUCGGUGCUUGUUCAAGGCUUGUUAAAAAAAUUGAGUUGUCAGUCUUUUUUCUUAUAAAAGGCCUUUGUCAGAUAUAUCAGUUUUAAAUAUUUAUUCCAGUCUCAGGCUUGCCUUUUAAAUCUCUUAAUGUAUUUUGUUGAAUAAAAGUUCUUAAUUUUAAUGAAGUUCAGUAUAUCAAUCUUUUAUCUUAUGGUUAGCAUUUAAUGUCUUAUGUUUAAAAAAUCGUUGUCUACCACAAGAUUAUGAUGUUAUUCUCUGUAUUUCAUUCUAGAAGCUUGAUUGUUUUAGCACUCACAUUUAGAACUUUAAUCUGCCUUAAAUUAUUUUUUGUAGUUUGACUGAGGUAAGAAAGUUCUAUGUCUGACUUUCUGGCGGUAUCACAUUAUUUUGAUUACUGUAGUACUGUAAUAAGUUUUGAAAUAAGAAAGUGUGAGACCUCCAACUUUGUUCUUCUUUUUCAAGAUUGCUGUAUUAGUUUGCUAAGGCUGCCAUAACAAAAUAUCACAGACUCCGUGGCUUAACCCACAGACAUUUAUUUUCUCAGCUCAGGCCAGAAGUUUAAGUUCAAGGUGGGCAGGCUUGUUGGCUGCAGAGGCCUCUGUCUUUACUUGCAAAUGACCACCUUCUUGCUUUGUUCUCACAUGGCCUUUCCUCUGUAGACUCACAUCUCUGGUGUCCUUCAAUGUAUCAAGUUUUUAUCUUUUUAUAAGGACACAAUUCUGAUUGUAUUAGAGCCCACACUAAAGGCAUCAUUUUAACUUAAUCACACUUUUAAAGUUUCUGUCUCCAAAUACAGUCAUAUUCUGAGGUACUGAGAUUUAGGGCUUUAAUAUACAAAUUGUGGGUGGUCACAGUUCAGCAAAUAACAAUCGCUUAGGCUAUUUGGAGUCCCUUGAGAUUCCAUAUGAAUUUUAGGAAGGGGUUUUCUCUUUUUUAUAAAAAAUGCUGCUGGGAUUUUGAUAUGAAUUACAUUCAGUCUAGAGAUCACUGGGUAACGAUGACAUCUUAACAAUGUUAAGUCUUCCAAUCCAUUAACAGGGAUGUCUUUCCAUGUUUAUCUGUGUCAUCUUUAGUUUCUUUCAUCAAUGUGGUACAGUUUUCAGUGUACAAAUCUUUCACUUCCUUGGUUAAAUUUAUUUCUAAUUAUUUUAUUGUUUUUGAUGUUAGUAUAAAUGGGAUUGCUCUCUUAAUUUUCUCUUCAGAUUAUUCAUUGUUAGCAUAUAGAAAUGCAACUGAUUUUUGCAUGUUGAUUUUGUACCUUGCAGCUUUGCUGAUUUCAUUUAGAGUUUUCCCCAUGUACAGUCAUGUCAUCUUUGAAUAGAGGUAAUUUUACUUCCUUUCCAAUUUGUAUACCUUUUAUUUCUUGCCUAAUUGCUCUGGCUAGGACUGCCAGUAUUACGUUGAAUAGAAGUGGUGAAAGCAAGAAUCUUUGUCUUGUUCCUGAUCUUAGAGGAAAAGUUUUUAAUUCUUUUACAAUUCACUAUGAUGUUAGCUGUGGGCUUUGUACAUAUGGUCUUUAUUAUGUUGAGAUACUUUCCUUCUGUUCUUAGUGUGUUGAUAGUAUAUAUCAUGAAAAAGUGCUGAAUUUUGUUAAAUACUUUUUUUGUAUCAAUUGAGAUGACAACAUUAUUUUCUUUCAUUCUGUUACUAUGACAUUAAUUUGCAUAUGUUGAACUAUCCUUGUAUUACAGGAAUAAAUCUCAGUUGUUUUGGUGUCAAAUCAGUUCAAUAUGCUUUAACUGGUAUUUUGAUCAAGAUUUUUGCCUCAAUAGUCAUCCUUUAUUUCUCCUUUUAAUAUAUUAGAGUUAGGUGUUUUAUAGAUACCUUUUAUGAUAUUAGGAAAAUUUUCUUAUCCUUAGUUUGCUUAGUUUUUACUAUGAAUGGAAUUUAGAUUUUAUUAAGUGCCUUUUCUGUAUUUAUUAAAAUGUUUUUUUUCCUAUUUUACUGUUACUAUUGUCAAGCACAUUGAGUGAAAGUUGAAUGUUUAACCUUGCAUUCCUGGAAUAAACAGUUUGAUCAUAAAA
Molecule: long non-coding RNA, 9316 nt
Organism: Homo sapiens (human)
Lineage: Eukaryota; Metazoa; Chordata; Mammalia; Primates; Hominidae
Exons: 2
Source: RefSeq, a predicted model, not a curated record